CCGUCUCCGUCUCCCUCCACGGUCUCCUUCCACGGUCUCCCUCUGAUGCCGAGCCAAGGCUGGACGGUGCUGCUGCCAUCUCGGCUCACUGCAGCCUCCCUGCCUGAUUCUCCUGCCUCAGCCUGCUGAGUGCCUGCGAUUGCAGGCGCACGCCGCCACGCCUCACUGGUUUUCGUUUUUUUUUUUGGUGGAGACGGGGUUUUGCUGUGUUGGCCGGGCUGGUCUCCAGCUCCUAGCCGCGAGUGAUCCGCCAGCCUCGGCCUCCCGGGGUGCCGGGAUUGCGGACGGAGUCUCGUUCACUCAGUGCUCUGUGGUGCCCAGGCUGGAGUGCAGUGGCGUGAUCUCGGCU
This 349-nucleotide long non-coding RNA is filed under the name Homo sapiens (human). RNAcentral describes it as "non-protein coding lnc-BCKDK-2:1". Lineage: Eukaryota; Metazoa; Chordata; Mammalia; Primates; Hominidae. The record is from RNAcentral.